This 944-nucleotide ribosomal RNA is filed under the name uncultured Corynebacterium sp. RNAcentral's name for it is "bacterial SSU rRNA". It matches the Rfam family "Bacterial small subunit ribosomal RNA", at positions 68 to 1023 of the family's 1533-position model. The record is from RNAcentral. Lineage: Bacteria; Bacillati; Actinomycetota; Actinomycetes; Mycobacteriales; Corynebacteriaceae.
GGAAAGGCCCUGCUUGCGGGGUACUCGAGUGGCGAACGGGUGAGUAACACGUGGGUGAUCUGCCCUGCACUUCGGGAUAAGCUUGGGAAACUGGGUCUAAUACCGGAUAGGACCGCACUUUAGUGUGUGUGGUGGAAAGUUUUUUCGGUGUAGGAUGAGCUCGCGGCCUAUCAGCUUGUUGGUGGGGUAAUGGCCUACCAAGGCGGCGACGGGUAGCCGGCCUGAGAGGGUGUACGGCCACAUUGGGACUGAGAUACGGCCCAGACUCCUACGGGAGGCAGCAGUGGGGAAUAUUGCACAAUGGGCGCAAGCCUGAUGCAGCGACGCCGCGUGGGGGAUGAAGGCCUUCGGGUUGUAAACUCCUUUCGCUAGGGACGAAGCUUUUGUGACGGUACCUAGAUAAGAAGCACCGGCUAACUACGUGCCAGCAGCCGCGGUAAUACGUAGGGUGCGAGCGUUGUCCGGAAUUACUGGGCGUAAAGGGCUCGUAGGUGGUUUGUCGCGUCGUCUGUGAAAUUCUGGGGCUUAACUCCGGGCGUGCAGGCGAUACGGGCAUAACUUGAGUGCUGUAGGGGUAACUGGAAUUCCUGGUGUAGCGGUGAAAUGCGCAGAUAUCAGGAGGAACACCGAUGGCGAAGGCAGGUUACUGGGCAGUUACUGACGCUGAGGAGCGAAAGCAUGGGUAGCGAACAGGAUUAGAUACCCUGGUAGUCCAUGCUGUAAACGGUGGGCGCUAGGUGUGAGGGUUUUUCUACGAUUCUCGUGCCGUAGCUAACGCAUUAAGCGCCCCGCCUGGGGAGUACGGCCGCAAGGCUAAAACUCAAAGGAAUUGACGGGGGCCCGCACAAGCGGCGGAGCAUGUGGAUUAAUUCGAUGCAACGCGAAGAACCUUACCUGGGCUUGACAUACACGAGAUCGCUGCAGAGAUGUAGUUUCCCUUUUGU